This 256-nucleotide long non-coding RNA is filed under the name Elaeis guineensis (African oil palm). RNAcentral's name for it is "long non-coding RNA (EGUI_LNC000643)". Lineage: Eukaryota; Viridiplantae; Streptophyta; Magnoliopsida; Arecales; Arecaceae. The record is from RNAcentral.
GCUAAUCAAUAGUUUAUUGUAAUUAUAGAAAUGAAUUUAAUCAUAAUUUCUUCCAAAAUCAUACUUCAAGAAAUUACCACUAAGUUAGGUAUUAUGCCGCCGCAAUAUGGUUUUGAGUUACACCAUUUUGACUUUCUUAAAGCUUAUGUUCAAAUUAUUUUUGAACUGGAAGAGGAACAGAAAGAUGAUCAAUUUGAACGUACUAUGCUAUGGGGGCAGAUAGGGAGGCCACAGAUUAAAUCCAAAGAAGAAGCGG